Molecule: ribosomal RNA, 1430 nt
Filed under: Chiropterotriton chondrostega (gristle-headed splayfoot salamander)
Lineage: Eukaryota; Metazoa; Chordata; Amphibia; Caudata; Plethodontidae
Description: partial large subunit ribosomal RNA
Rfam family: Bacterial large subunit ribosomal RNA
Source: RNAcentral
AGAAGAGGAAAGUCGUAACAUGGUAAGCCUACCGGAAGGUGGUCUUGGAACAGAAUAUAGCUUAACUAAAGCAUUUUGCUUACACCAAAAAAAUAUCCUACAGAUUAUUCUGAUACUGUAAACUUAGCCUAUCUUCACAUCUGUAUAUUUAAUAAUUAAAUCAUUUAUAUAUGUUAGUAUGAGCGACAGAAAACUUAUUAGCGCAAUAAAUAAAGUACUGUAAAGGAAAAAUGAAAUAGAAUUUAAAUAACCACAAAAGAACAAUAAAGUAAAGAUUAAUACUUUUACCUUUUGCAUAAUGGUCUAGCAAGUCUAACCCAACAGAAAUAUUUAAGCCGGAAACCCCGAAACCAAACGAGCUACCUUAAAGCAACACCCUAAAUUUACUCUCUGUAGCAAAAGAGAGUAAAAGACUUUAAGGUAGAGGCGAAAAACCAAACGAGUAUGGUGAUAGCUGGUUACUUAGAAAUGAAUUAAGUUCAACUAAAAGCAAAAACACCAAUAAGGAUGCAUAUAACGCUUUUAAUAUAAUAAAUUAGGGUACAGCCUAAUUUAUAUAGGAAACAGCCUAAAUAUAUGAAUAAAGAUAUUAAACUAUAAUAAAGUAGGCCUAAAAGCAGCCAUCAAAAAAGCGUCACAGCUUAUUUAAUUUAUAUUUAAAAAUAUUAACAAUAUAUCUAAAUUCAAUAAAACAACUAAGUUAAUCUAUUAAUAGAAAAACUACUACUAGAAUGAGUAAUAAGGAAUACCUCUAAAUACAUGUGUAUAUCAAAACGAACUCCUCACUGAUAAUUAACGAAAAUGUUUAAUUCAACUAGAAAUUAAACCUCACACACCGUUUAUCCAACACAGGUGUAUAAAAGAAAGACUUAAAGCUUAAGAAGGAACUCGGCAAACCAAAGCUCCGCCUGUUUACCAAAAACAUCGCCUUCCGAUCAAUAAAUAUGAAAGGUCCUGCCUGCCCAGUGAUAUUUUUCAACGGCCGCGGUAUUAUGACCGUGCAAAGGUAGCAUAAUCACUUGUCUUUUAAAUUAAGACCAGUAUGAAUGGCAAGACGAGAGCAUAACUGUCUCCUUAAGUUAGUCAAUGAAAUUAAUAUUCCCGUGCAGAAGCGGAGAUAAAAAUAUAAGACGAGAAGACCCUGUGGAGCUUAUAAAAAAAGCUAUAUAGACAUCUACAAUAGCCUAUAAUUUAGGUUGGGGCGACCAUGAGGUAAAAUAAAACCCUCAAGACAACAACUAGAAGGACACUUCAAACAAAAAGUAACAUUUAUAAUGACCCAUUAAUGAGCAACGAACCAAGUUACCCCAGGGAUAACAGCGCAAUCCAUCUCCAGAGCCCAUAUCGACAAAUGGGUUUACGACCUCGAUGUUGGAUCAGGACCCCCUAAUGGUGCAACAACUAUUAAAGGUUCGUUUGUCAACGAUAAA